Molecule: ribosomal RNA, 253 nt
Filed under: uncultured bacterium
Lineage: Bacteria
Description: partial 16S ribosomal RNA
Rfam family: Bacterial small subunit ribosomal RNA
Source: RNAcentral
UACGGAGGAGGCAAGCGUUAUCCGGAAUGAUUGGGCGUAAAGCGUCCGCAGGUGGCAAUGUAAGUCUGCUGUCAAAGCGUCUGGCUCAACCAGAUAAAGGCAGUGGAAACUAUAUAGCUAGAGUAAGGUAGGGGUAGAGGGAAUUCCUGGUGUAGCGGUGAAAUGCGUAGAGAUCAGGAAGAACACCGGUGGCGAAAGCGCUCUGCUGGACCUUAACUGACACUGAGGGACGAAAGCUAGGGGAGCGAAUGGG